This 238-nucleotide long non-coding RNA is filed under the name Elaeis guineensis (African oil palm). RNAcentral describes it as "long non-coding RNA (EGUI_LNC063153)". Lineage: Eukaryota; Viridiplantae; Streptophyta; Magnoliopsida; Arecales; Arecaceae. The record is from RNAcentral.
CCCUCUUCCUUUUGAAGAUCCACUUAUACUCUAUGGGUUUAACCUCUUCAGGUGGGUCAACUAAUAUCCAUACAUCAUUGACCUUCAUGAACUCCUUUUCGAAUUUCAUGGCUUCAAGCCAUUUAUUAGAGUCAGACCUCUAUAUUGCAUUUAUAUGGAUGAUCGGAUCCUCAUUGUUCUCAUUGAGUUCAACAGGAUCCCUGUCUCAGACCAAGAAAUCAUAGUAUCUAUCCGAUUG